UGUCCCACUCUGAUUGGUUCAUACCAGAUAACAUUGUGCCUUAUUUGGCCGUUUCCACAUUCUUUUCUCAUCCUUCUUCUUCUCCUGUUUUCUCUGCAUCAAGGUCAGCACGAUAGCACUAUCUCUCUAUGUUUAGGGAGAGGCCUGUCCCGUACAUCCCGUGCCCCCGCAAGACGCCUACUACAACAUCUCCCCCUCCCUAAGCUAAAUACUACUUACACACACACCUAACCCGUACAUCGCGAAGCAGCGCAAAACGCCUAAUCCUAAAUAUAUUUCAGCACACUAUUCCUACUAUUUUCUACUACAGUUCUUAAGCAAUCAUCAGAGCAACAGGGAAUUCUUUUCCGUGCUCGGCCAAGCCUUGCCCCAUUACAGCACGAACGCAACAACCUAAACCCCUCUAUAAUUUUUCACGCAAUCUAUGAUACUCAAUGUGAUAGUCAAAAGUCUUGUCCAUCAUUCGUUGAAGGCAGUUCUGCAAGCAUCCUACAAAGCAUGGAAGACAGAUUAGAAUACACACAAAGAUUGCAAAUCCUACUGCGAGAGCUUUAAGCAAUUGCUUUAACCAUGAACCCGUUCCCCCAAACAGUCCGUCCAGCCAGCUUCCAAAGGGAUCACGCUCUUCUUUAAUUUUCUGCAUAUGUUCUUGUGUCCAUUGUAGUUGUUUGUGACACUCUGUAAUCGCCAUGGACACCAUAAAUAUCAGCAACAUCGGAAGUGUCAGCGUUGCAGGUGUAGUGCUCCUCUUGACGAGUGGUUCUUAAUCCCAUCGUCUGUCCCUCAGUUGUUCUGGAGUUGGCUUCGGUCUGCCAACGAAGAAUUUCUGUAGAAAACUCGCACCUAGACUCAGUUUUUGCAGAUAUGCUACUUAUAUCUGGUAUUACUUUUCGCGAUGGUACCCACAGAAUUUCCCAGAUUCAUGAUAUUUAACUGCUGCAUACCCGACCACGGAUACCCUUUAGCAAGCCCUUCCUGUGAUCAGGAGGCCCUGACUGGCCUCCCCCACAGGGGCAUUGUGCUCUAACAUGGCCAUACUGGCCGUAUCGGAAACACAGCCCUUGCUGCUGCAGCGAUCUUUGCUGUCGCAGGCCAACAGCUACGACAAUAGCUGUGACUAGCCUUUCAUUAGUUAAAUGAGCCACCUUGAGCUUAUCUAAGACAUACUGAAUAACUUCUCCCGAGGUAUUAAGCGUACUUCGGCCGGCUCCCGAGGUAUUAAGCGUACUUCGGCCGGCUCGCAGCAAUGCCUUAACACUGUCAUGCGAUUUCUGCUGCAAGCAGUCAAUGAUCACUGGCCCUUGGGCCGGUACCAGGAGAUCAGACCCCUCUGCAGCAGCUAAAAGCCUGUCUGUAAAGCUUUGAAAGGAUUCAUUCGGUCCCUGGGUAAUAUCUGUGCACGGAGUAGGUGGUUCGGCCUUAUGCACAAGUUUAUUAAACGCUUCCACCACUGCAUCUGUGGCUGCUAUUAGCUCCCCUGGCCUUAGUCUCGCUAGCUGGCCCUGGGGCGAAGCCACUCCCACGGCCUUCCCUGAAAGCCGCUGUAUUCCGGUCCCAUGCAGGGAGCGGCGCGGGCCGACCCCUGUCGCCCCGGCACGGCCCCCCAACUUGGCCACCCAGUCCGUCUCCCAUAACGUAUAUUGAACCAGCCUGAGCACCGUACGCAUUAAGUUUGUGAUGUCACGGGGGAAGAGAGGCCCCAGUGCAGCCAAAGUUUGUAGUGCAUUUAAUGUCAGAGGCGAUUUCAAGCCUCUUUUAUCCAUGAAUUCCACCAGGCGCGUAACACCCCCGGGGUCAGGCGGCACCCAUUCGGGACCACGAUCACUCACAAUCACCCGGAAUGCCUCUGGAACUAUACCCUUUCCCAAAGCCUCCGAUCUAAUCCCAUUCCAGUCCGUCAUUUGAUCCCUCCCCCUGCACUCAAAGCCAGUCCCUUCUUUCUCUUCUACACUAUCACUCGCACUACCGCCCCUGGGAGUGACCAGAGACAGUAGGCUAUGCCCCCUGUCCGCAUUGGACGGACCUUUUGUCUGGUCCCUCCCCAUGUGGGCACUAAGUUGAUCCUGCCCGUGUAGAUCACAGCUUCCUCCGCCCCCUUGAGUCAGGUAACACUGACGUAAUUCUGAUAAAGGAUACAACGUUCCGCCUGAGGGGUGUGGAUACGGGGGAGGGGGACGAGACAACGAACUUUCACUCUCUUGUUGUUUGUCUUCUUUUGAACUGAGCGCGGUCGGCUCAGCCGGCGCCAUCCCGCCAACGGUCAUUGGCGGCUCCGUCUCCUCUCGGCCCCUGCAAGAAACUGCUCCCGAACCCCCAUCGGACCCGACCGGGUCCUGUGUCUCACCUCCUCCGCUGAGACCCAAAAGGUAUCGAGCCUCCACCAAUAACUUUCCCUCAACUCUGGCCGCUUUAAGGGCUCCUAAUAUCAGUCCCCACGUUUUAAGUUCCGUAGCCUUCUGACUGGCCAUGGCGCGCUGGCAUAGCACCGAGGUGAGCAAGUCCCACCUACUCGAAUCCAAAACGUAGCGGGGAGAGUCCAGCUCCCCCAGCUCAUUUAACAGCGACAAAACUGCCGCGAUCUCCUUCCGGGAAGGAGCAGAUUUUCCACAGUAGUCCUUACAAAACUGCACAAGUACCUUAAUGACUUGGUCCAUUGUUACGCAUGCGACCUGCCGCCACCUCGCAGGCUCUUAACCGCAGUACGUCUUCCGUGCGCGACCUGCCGCCACCUCACAGGCUCUUCUCCGCGUCACGGGCACGCCGGGCAGCCACCCUCAGCAGACAGAUCACGUCGGGGUCACCACUUGUUGCGUGUAGUCUCCGUUCGCUCGUCCGGUGUUCGUCCUCUGUCCACAUGUAGGGCUUACUGCUGGGCGAAACCGACCCUUUACCAGGUCGGGGCCAGAUGCUCACCCAGACCCCAGGAGUAAGUGAGGCAAAUGGCGUUUAUUCACUACUAAACACAGCUUAUAUACAUUUUACCUAGAUAACCGUGCUGUCAUGUCCCACUCUGAUUAGUUCACACCAGAUAACAUUGUGCCUUAUUUGGCCGUUUC
Molecule: long non-coding RNA, 3056 nt
Organism: Gallus gallus (chicken)
Lineage: Eukaryota; Metazoa; Chordata; Aves; Galliformes; Phasianidae
Source: Ensembl